CUCGUUUAGUUGGUAUGAUUCCGGUCUCUCUCGCUUGACCUCAUCUUGCCUUUGGUGUCUCUUGCUCUCUGUGAUCUGUUGCUCCAGCUCAUCUCCUGUCGCCACUCUCUUUGACGAGGGUUAGCCACUACUCCAUCUCUGGUCGAGUUUGUCUUGCUCUCUCGGUCGCCACUCCUUCAAGCUUCCUCCAUCUCCAGUUGCCACUCUCACUCUCUCCAGUUCGUCUCCCAUCACCACUCUCUCUCGAGCUGGAGCCUGUCUUUGGUUGCCUUAGUUUGUUGGCUCGUCUUUUAAAAUUCCAUAGGUCGUCUCUGCUUCGUGUUGACUUGCUGCUGCCUGUUGGCAUGAAAAUGGAAGAAUAAAAUCUGCUUCUACUCCUUCUCCAUACAUGCAACCAUGCUGGGCUGUGAUGGUAAUUCACUUUCAAACCAUAAAUUUUUAUAGUAUCAGCGACUCAUUGAUAUUCUAUAUCCUACUACCCAAACAAUUAAUUCUUUGAUGCAACUUGAUCUUCUUGCUGGUGUUGAUGUGGGGGUCAAACUCUAAGAAUAUCUGCUUUUAUAGGUUGUUGAUCGUAAUGGACUGUAGGUGAGCUUCAUCCAUCUUUUAAUUGAUAGAAAUUAUGCAUCAUUUACAAACACACACACACACACGUAUAUUACAUCCUAAAUCUUGACCUUUAUAAAGGGAAAAUAAAACUACUGGUCUUGUUUUUCUUUUCUGUCCACCCCAAGGUUCUCGCCAGUCCCUGUCUCCUUUGGUAUGGACAUAUCAUAUACAACUAUUUUAAAUUCUGAUUCAAUAAAAAUGAUGACCUAUAUUAAAUAGUGCUCAUAAGGUUACUUCAUCAUAAUGAAAAGUUGACUGCAUUCCUCCCCUGUAUCCUAUAAUUUAACAAAGAAGAUAAACAAUUAUAUACUCAAGCUUUCUGAUUCUUUUAUGAAAAGCUACUGGUGAUGGACAUCCUACAGCGGAAAGACACUAAACUUGCUGGCUUGCAUUCUAUUUUGAUUGAUUUAAUAACUAAUUGGGUUUUUUUUUUAUACUUUCGUUGUUUCAGAAAUCUUGAUAAGCAUUGAAACCUCCGUCUUCUUGACUGCCUUGUAUUUUUAUGCUUUUCCACUUCCUUAUGUAUAUUGUCAUUGGUAUCCACUGUGACUAUGUUGAUACUAUGUUUCAUAUGUGAAAAUAGGAUUUAAUGUCUGAUGGCUUUAGAACUCUAU
Molecule: long non-coding RNA, 1223 nt
Organism: Prosopis cineraria
Lineage: Eukaryota; Viridiplantae; Streptophyta; Magnoliopsida; Fabales; Fabaceae
Exons: 2
Source: RefSeq, a predicted model, not a curated record